GUAGUUAGCCGGGGCUUCCUCCUUGGCUACCGUCACUUCCUUCGUCACCAAGGACAGAGGUUUACAAUCCGAAAACCUUCUUCCCUCACGCGGCGUUGCUGGGUCAGGCUUUCGCCCAUUGCCCAAUAUUCCCCACUGCUGCCUCCCGUAGGAGUUUGGACCGUUUCUCAGUUCCAAUGUGGCCGAUCACCCUCUCAGGUCGGCUACCGAUCGUCGCCUUGGUGGGCCGUUACCUCACCAACUAGCUAAUCGGACGCGAGCUCACCCCAAACCGGAUUGCUCCUUUUACCUCAAGGCGAUGUCACCUCGUGGUCUUAUGCGGUAUUAGCAGAUGUUUCCAUCUGUUAUCCCCCUGUCUGGGACAGAUUGCUCACGCGUUACUCACCCGUCCGCCGCUCGAACAUCAACCGAAGUCAAUGUCCUCGCUCGACUUGCAUGUGUUAAGCACGCCGCCAGCGUUCGUCCUGAGCCAGGAUCAAACUCUGA
Molecule: ribosomal RNA, 486 nt
Filed under: uncultured bacterium
Lineage: Bacteria
Description: partial 16S ribosomal RNA
Source: RNAcentral